UUUGUUUGUUGGGCCUAAGCAUGGAGUACGUGGCUUCAUUGUGUCCAGCCAGGUAUAGCCCUUCAACUUUACUUUCCCAUUCUCUCUCUCUGAACCGAAUCACACCACCACGCCAUUGCUCCCUCUCCCUCUCUCUCUCUCCCUAGAACGAAAUCCUCAUCGCCAUCACGCCAGUACUCCGUGAAUCGGAGAAGAUAAGGGACGUUGAGUUUGAGAGAUUUCGGGAAUGGAAACAUCAAAUCGCGAUGAGAAGGUUGCACGACUCUUCCCCUGGACUUGUAUUUCAACGCGGAAUUUGAAUUGCAUGUAGGUCGCGAUACAUGCAUUGAUGGACUCGCGAUUUUGUUGACGAAUUUACCAUAGGAUACCAACGGGGCUACCAUGGUUUCUAGGGUUAAUUGCACGAACUUGUUAUGGGAGGAGUUGGUUGCUCAGAACAAGUGCAAUUUAGCAGAUUUGCAAGUCCUGAAAUUGUUGUUUUGUACGCGAUUUAGCCAAAGGAUGUGUAUGGAUGGAAGAAUGUUUUGUUUACAUUACGCCUCCGUGCACUCAUGAGUCUCACGCUUAUUCUCGCACCCACGAUCCAUAUACAUGGGUUAAAUACGUGUCUAGCGAGCCCAUACUUCCCAACCAACCCAAUGAAGGAAUGAGAAAAUCGGAAUGAGACAAAAGAGGGCAUUUAUAUUGCUAAAAGAUUUUGAGUUGAUAAAAGGUGUAAACCUUGACCCAAUACCAUUUGACAUGGACUGAGAUCUUCUCACCCCCAAUUUCCAAGAAGAAGAGGGACAAGUUUCUCAAAUACUAUCAGCCUAUGUUUCAAGGAGUGCUUCUGGUUUCUGACUUUAUUAUUUGUAUACUUAGAGUCUAGAAGAUCAACAUUGUGUGGGGGGCUCAUCAUUGUGUUCUGAACCCCGUAACCUAAUGAAGUGGGUAGGAGUAUUGUUGGCUAUGAGAAUGUCCAUGAUGAAAUCCAAGCUGACUAAGUGAAACGCCUUCAUAAGAUCAACCUUUAUGGCGCACCGCGGGGAACCUUGAAGCCUAUCAUUCAAACAUUCCAGUUUUGUUGUCUCUAUAUUUUUUGAUAGUUGAUUUCACUUACAUUUACUAGACUCAAAUACUUGUACAAUUCCACAAACAUUCAACAUCGCUCUCCUCGACAGGCAUAAACAACUG
This is a long non-coding RNA of Rhododendron vialii, 1173 nucleotides long. RefSeq lists it as uncharacterized. The transcript is spliced from 7 exons. The record is from RefSeq and is a predicted model, not a curated record. Lineage: Eukaryota; Viridiplantae; Streptophyta; Magnoliopsida; Ericales; Ericaceae.